RNAcentral lists this unclassified non-coding RNA (200 nucleotides) under uncultured fungus. RNAcentral's name for it is "sequence contains ITS1". Lineage: Eukaryota; Fungi. The record is from RNAcentral.
UUGAUUCAUUUUUUUUGACUCGGAUGUCACCGUGAGCAGAGUUUAGAUGGUCCUCUGACGGGCACUCUCCAGCCGAAGCCGGCGGCGCCUAGGCACCUGGCCCGCCAAAGCAACAAAGAUAAGUUCACAAAGGGUGGGAGUAGGCGCCCAGAGGGCACCGGUACUCUGUAAUGAUCCUUCCGCAGGUUCACCUACGGAAA